UACGUAGGGGGCGAGCGUUGUCCGGAUUUAUUGGGCGUAAAGCGCUCGCAGGUGGUCCGUCGCGUCGUGCGUGAAAGCCCCCGGCUCAACUGGGGAGUGUCGUGCGAUACGGGCGGACUGGAGGCCAGUAGGGGGAUGCGGAAUUCCGGGUGUAGUGGUGGAAUGCGUAGAGAUCCGGAGGAACACCAGCGGCGAAGGCGGCAUCCUGGACUGGUCCUGACACUCAUGAGCGAAAGCGUGGGGAGCGAUCCGG
RNAcentral lists this ribosomal RNA (253 nucleotides) under uncultured bacterium. RNAcentral's name for it is "partial 16S ribosomal RNA". It matches the Rfam family "Bacterial small subunit ribosomal RNA", at positions 524 to 776 of the family's 1533-position model. The record is from RNAcentral.